CAGUAGCCGCGGUAACACGCAGGGGGCUAGCGUUGUUCGGAAUUACUGGGCGUAAAGCGCACGUAGGCGGCUUGGUAAGUUAGAGGUGAAAGCCCAGGGCUCAACCCUGGAAUUGCCUUUAAGACUGCCGAGCUAGUAGGUGAGAGAGGUAAGUGGAAUUCCGAGUGUAGAGGUGAAAUUCGUAGAUAUUCGGAAGAACACCAGUGGCGAAGGCGGCUUACUGGCUCAUUCUAGACGCUGAGGUGCGAAAGCGUGGGGAGCAAACAGGAUUAGAGACCCCCGUAGUCCCUGUCUCUUAUAC
Molecule: ribosomal RNA, 301 nt
Filed under: uncultured bacterium
Lineage: Bacteria
Description: partial 16S ribosomal RNA
Rfam family: Bacterial small subunit ribosomal RNA
Source: RNAcentral